UGCAGAGGUUUUGUGUUAGUCAUCUUAAGGAGGCUACCUGUGGUCCCCAAGUCAUGCCCAAUGGAGAGAUCUGGCAACUGUCCAUUUCCUGCCUCUUCAUCCCCCUUGCAGACACCACUCAGUCAACCUUAUUCGUUUGGCUAUUUGGUCCAGCAGCCUGAGGCUGGAAGACAAAUGGAAGCCAUGGGUUUCUACCUAGGAAGAACUUGAUUAAAGGGGAUCAUCACUCUCCCCUACUCCCGCACUUAAUGUCUGCACCUGCGGGGAGUCACAGUUAGUUCUUGACUUUGGCCAGUUGAGGCGUUCUGACUCUCAAAGAGGCUUCACUCUCUCUCAGCUCUUUGCUAUUUUCGCCUUCGGGUCCUGUGGCUCCUACAGCGGGGAGACAGGAGCAAUGGUUCGCUGCAACAACGAAGCCAAGGACGUGAGCUCCAUCAUCGUUGCAUUUGGCUAUCCCUUCAGGUUGCACCGGAUCCAAUAUGAGAUGCCCCUCUGCGAUGAAGAGUCCAGCUCCAAGACCAUGCACCUCA
RNAcentral lists this small RNA (530 nucleotides) under Pongo abelii (Sumatran orangutan). RNAcentral's name for it is "processed transcript". The record is from RNAcentral. Lineage: Eukaryota; Metazoa; Chordata; Mammalia; Primates; Hominidae.